RNAcentral lists this ribosomal RNA (497 nucleotides) under uncultured bacterium. Its description in RNAcentral is "partial 16S ribosomal RNA". It matches the Rfam family "Bacterial small subunit ribosomal RNA", at positions 28 to 507 of the family's 1533-position model. The record is from RNAcentral.
GAUGAACGCUGGCGGCGUGCCUAAUACAUGCAAGUCGAGCGAACGGACGAUAAGCUUGCUUCUCUGAUGUUAGCGGCGGACGGGUGAGUAACACGUGGAUAACCUACCUAUAAGACUGGGAUAACUUCGUGAAACCGGAGCUAAUACCGGAGGAUAUUUUGAACCGCAUGGUUCAAAAGUGAAAGACGGUCUUGCUGUCACUUAUAGAUGGAUCCGCGCUGCAUUAGCUAGUUGGUAAGGUAACGGCUUACCAAGGCAACGAUGCAUAGCCGACCUGAGAGGGUGAUCGGCCACACUGGAACUGAGACACGGUCCAGACUCCUACGGGAGGCAGCAGUAGGGAAUCUUCCGCAAUGGGCGAAAGCCUGACGGAGCAACGCCGCGUGAGUGAUGAAGGUCUUCGGAUCGUAAAACUCUGUUAUUAGGGAAGAACAUAUGUGUAAGUAACUGUGCACAUCUUGACGGUACCUAAUCAGAAAGCCACGGCUAACUACGUG